GUUGCAGAUAAUUGACUUCCCGCUCCUGAAAUCCAAAUACAUCAUUAUGGGAAAAUUGAAGGUUAUAAGCUCGAUCCAAGGACAUCGUAUAUCUUUGAUCUUUAGUCAAGAUUGUAAGUGUGGCAGUAUCUUUAAAAUUAGAAAGAGGGUAUAGAUGUGCCCUCCUUGGAGAACAUCUUGUCGUAGCCCUCUUUGUACACUACUGAGAAAUGGGCAUCAAGAAGUUGGUACACACGUAAUGUGUAUCACUGAAAUUCUAGAAAACAAUAAUUAGCUAGCUUCAUCAUAACACAGAUGUGCCGACUAAUGGCACCUGUGAAAAGAACGGAGAGCCUGGUUAAGAGGGUGAAGAGUAGAACCUGCAGACUAUGCAGGUUCUGCGAGGAACAGGUGAAACCAGAUGUACUGGUCUUAGAAUUUCUCAGGACGUCGGAUCAGGGUAGUUGAUUCUUGUUAGGUCUGUGAGUCGUCAAAUGAUCUAACAGUUGAUAAUACAGAUGUCCCGGAACUUAUCAAUAACCAUAUGCGAAGAUUAGCAUGAGAAGGUUCACGAAAAGGACAACUAAGAAAUUAGUCCAACUCUUGAACAUCUCCAAAUAGAAAACUUGUUCAUUUUUCA
This is a long non-coding RNA of Daucus carota subsp. sativus, 619 nucleotides long. RefSeq lists it as uncharacterized. The record is from RefSeq and is a predicted model, not a curated record. Lineage: Eukaryota; Viridiplantae; Streptophyta; Magnoliopsida; Apiales; Apiaceae. The transcript is spliced from 2 exons.